UACGGAGGGUGCAAGCGUUAAUCGGAAUCACUGGGCGUAAAGCGCACGUAGGCUGUUAUGUAAGUCAGGGGUGAAAUCCCACGGCUCAACUGUGGAACUGCCCUUGAUACUGCACGACUUGAAUCCGGGAGAGGGUGGCGGAAUUCCAGGUGUAGGAGUGAAAUCCGUAGAUAUCUGGAGGAACAUCAGUGGCGAAGGCGGCCACCUGGACCGGUAUUGACGCUGAGGUGCGAAAGCGUGGGGAGCAAACAGG
Molecule: ribosomal RNA, 253 nt
Filed under: Desulfovibrio piger ATCC 29098
Lineage: Bacteria; Pseudomonadati; Thermodesulfobacteriota; Desulfovibrionia; Desulfovibrionales; Desulfovibrionaceae
Description: partial 16S ribosomal RNA
Rfam family: Bacterial small subunit ribosomal RNA
Source: RNAcentral